GGGUCUAUAGCUCAGUGGUAGAGCAUUCGACUGCAGAUCGAAUGGUCACCGGUUCAAACCCGGUUGGGCCCU
Musa acuminata subsp. malaccensis (wild Malaysian banana) is the source of this 72-nucleotide non-coding RNA. Lineage: Eukaryota; Viridiplantae; Streptophyta; Magnoliopsida; Zingiberales; Musaceae. The record is from Rfam.